UGCAUUUUAUAAUCAUGCAUGAAUCAUGAUAUGAGGUAAGACGGGGAGGUUUUGCACAGGGCGGAGAAAGAAACGAUAACAACGGUCAUAAUCAGUCUGGAUGGACCAGGUGUAAUUCUGCAUCGCCAAUCGGAAGAGGCGAAGAAGUUGUACAUGUAUUGAGCUUUUUAUCGUCACCACCCAUCAGAGUUUGUCAUGGACACCACAGGUUGGUGUAGGCCUAGGCCUACAUGUACAUCAUGCAUUAUCAUGAUGAUUGGCUUACUUUCAACAGUUGUUCUUUCAGGAUAUUCUGUCGCCGUAACAAUUCCGCCUUAUUCAUAUGGUGACCAAGGACAUUCUGCUACUAUCAACUGCAGCUACAAAGUCACAGAAAGUAAUUAUUCAUUAAGUCGGAUCCAGUGGAGGAAAGGUGAUGCAGAUUUUGCGUCAGCAACUACGAUUGCUACAUUUGUCAAUGGCCUGGGUGCAACUCCAACAUACCCAAUAGGAGACAGCAAGUAUGCAAUGUCCAUUGACUCUGUAGACAGUAGUAACAUCUUGACUGUUAACUCGCUGCAGUACUCAAACGAUGGAGGAAAAUACUGGUGCUUCGUUUUGUUUCAAAGAACUGGUUAUGCCAACAAGAACGGUAUGGACUCAACUUUGCUUUCUGUUGUUGGUAAGUACACAUUUGUCU
Molecule: long non-coding RNA, 679 nt
Organism: Acanthaster planci (crown-of-thorns starfish)
Lineage: Eukaryota; Metazoa; Echinodermata; Asteroidea; Valvatida; Acanthasteridae
Source: RefSeq, a predicted model, not a curated record